This 466-nucleotide ribosomal RNA is filed under the name uncultured bacterium. Its description in RNAcentral is "partial 16S ribosomal RNA". It matches the Rfam family "Bacterial small subunit ribosomal RNA", at positions 28 to 507 of the family's 1533-position model. The record is from RNAcentral.
GAUGAACGCUGGCGGCGUGCUUAACACAUGCAAGUCGAACGAUGAAGCCCAGCUUGCUGGGUGGAUUAGUGGCGAACGGGUGAGUAACACGUGAGUAACCUGCCCUUAACUCUGGGAUAAGCCUGGGAAACUGGGUCUAAUACCGGAUAGGAGCGUCUACCGCAUGGUGGGUGUUGGAAAGAUUUAUCGGUUUUGGAUGGACUCGCGGCCUAUCAGCUUGUUGGUGAGGUAAUGGCUCACCAAGGCGACGACGGGUAGCCGGCCUGAGAGGGUGACCGGCCACACUGGGACUGAGACACGGCCCAGACUCCUACGGGAGGCAGCAGUGGGGAAUAUUGCACAAUGGGCGCAAGCCUGAUGCAGCGACGCCGCGUGAGGGAUGACGGCCUUCGGGUUGUAAACCUCUUUCAGUAGGGAAGAAGCGAAAGUGACGGUACCUGCAGAAGAAGCACCGGCUAACUACGUG